Molecule: ribosomal RNA, 580 nt
Filed under: uncultured bacterium
Lineage: Bacteria
Description: partial 16S ribosomal RNA
Rfam family: Bacterial small subunit ribosomal RNA
Source: RNAcentral
UGGGGAAUUUUGGACAAUGGGCGAAAGCCUGAUCCAGCAAUGCCGCGUGUGUGAAGAAGGCCUUCGGGUUGUAAAGCACUUUUGUCCGGAAAGAAAUCCUUGGCUCUAAUACAGUCGGGGGAUGACGGUACCGGAAGAAUAAGCACCGGCUAACUACGUGCCAGCAGCCGCGGUAAUACGUAGGGUGCAAGCGUUAAUCGGAAUUACUGGGCGUAAAGCGUGCGCAGGCGGUUUGCUAAGACCGAUGUGAAAUCCCCGGGCUCAACCUGGGAACUGCAUUGGUGACUGGCAGGCUAGAGUAUGGCAGAGGGGGGUAGAAUUCCACGUGUAGCAGUGAAAUGCGUAGAGAUGUGGAGGAAUACCGAUGGCGAAGGCAGCCCCCUGGGCCAAUACUGACGCUCAUGCACGAAAGCGUGGGGAGCAAACAGGAUUAGAUACCCUGGUAGUCCACGCCCUAAACGAUGUCAACUAGUUGUUGGGGAUUCAUUUCCUUAGUAAUGUAGCUAACGCGUGAAGUUGACCGCCUGGGGAGUACGGUCGCAAGAUUAAAACUUAAAGGAAUUGACGGGGGUCAUAGCUG